This 387-nucleotide unclassified non-coding RNA is filed under the name soil metagenome. RNAcentral describes it as "partial contains 5.8S ribosomal RNA, internal transcribed spacer 2, and large subunit ribosomal RNA". The stretch from base 1 to 120 matches the Rfam family "5.8S ribosomal RNA", at positions 35 to 154 of the family's 154-position model. The record is from RNAcentral.
GAUGAAGAACGUAGCGAAAUGCGAUAAGUAACGUGAAUUGCAGAAUUCAGUGAAUCAUCGAAUCUUUGAACGCAUCUUGCGCUCCCUGGUAUUCCGAGGAGCAUGCCUGUUUGAGUGUCAUCUAAAUCCUCAAACCACAUUGAUUCUUUCGGUGUGGCUUUGGAAGUGGGGGUAGUGUUUGCAGGUUUUAUCUUAAGUCUGCUCCCCUGAAAUGCAUUAGUGGUAUCUGAGCAGAAGGAACUACUACAGGUGUGAUAAUUUAUCUAUGCCUUAGUAUACUGCAUAAAACAGAUUACACUGCUUAUAACAAACUUUAUUUCUUUUUUUUGGAGACCUCAAAUCAGGUAGGACUACCCGCUGAACUUAAGCAUAUCAAUAAGCGGAGGA